ACAGGCAGAAAGCAAGUGAAUAUAAAUCAGAAGCCAAGCCUCUUCAAGACCUUCUCAUGGAGAGUGUGAACUUUUCCCCUGCCAAUCUCUCCAGCACUGGUUCCAGGUAUCUGAAUGCUUUGGUUGACAGCACAUCGCCCUUGAAACUAAAGAUACCUCACUAGCUAGGUUUAUCCCUGCAGUGAAUAAUUCGACAUCUGAUCUUUCAAACAAAAUCCCAAACUGAAGAAAUCAAGAUUGAAUGGGAAAAUCUUGAAAAAAAACUAACUGCAACAUUAAUAUUGGAAAAAUGUCAAAAAGAGGAUCUCAAGAAAGUAGAGUUUCAUUUGUCUUUGGAAAGGGUCAAAGUCGACGGUCAUCUUCAGAACAGGGAUGUUCUAAAAACAAAGUCAGUGGAGUUCAGAUUUGAAAUCAAAGCUGCAGAGGAGUCACUUUCAGCCAGAGGCAUGGAUGCUUCUCCAUUUCAUCAGUCCCUAGUAGCGGUAUCAGAGAAACUGGCAGAGUUAAAACGAUAGACCAUACCUUUGAAGAAAAAAAUGGAGUUCUAUUUAGAUUUAAUGCUGAAUCCAUCUCUUGCUCAAGUGAAAAUUGAAGAAGCAAAGAGAGAAUUAGGUAGCACUGAAGCUGAACUUACAAAGAAAGUAGACAAAAUGGAACCGUGA
This 662-nucleotide long non-coding RNA is filed under the name Homo sapiens (human). RNAcentral's name for it is "non-protein coding lnc-SBSPON-5:1". The record is from RNAcentral. Lineage: Eukaryota; Metazoa; Chordata; Mammalia; Primates; Hominidae.